RNAcentral lists this ribosomal RNA (506 nucleotides) under uncultured bacterium. RNAcentral's name for it is "partial 16S ribosomal RNA". It matches the Rfam family "Bacterial small subunit ribosomal RNA", at positions 29 to 523 of the family's 1533-position model. The record is from RNAcentral.
AGUGAACGCUGGCGGUAGGCCUAACACAUGCAAGUCGAACGGCAGCACAGGAGAGCUUGCUCUCUGGGUGGCGAGAGGCGGACGGGUGAGGAAUACAUCGGAAUCUACUCUGUCGUGGGGGAUAACGUAGGGAAACUUACGCUAAUACCGCAUACGACCUACGGGUGAAAGCAGGGGACCUUCGGGCCUUGCGCGAUUGAAUGAGCCGAUGUCGGAUUAGCUAGUUGGCGGGGUAAAGGCCCACCAAGGCGACGAUCCGUAGCUGGUCUGAGAGGAUGAUCAGCCACACUGGAACUGAGACACGGUCCAGACUCCUACGGGAGGCAGCAGUGGGGAAUAUUGGACAAUGGGCGCAAGCCUGAUCCAGCCAUACCGCGUGGGUGAAGAAGGCCUUCGGGUUGUAAAGCCCUUUUGUUGGGAAGGAAAUCCAGCUGGCUAAUACCCGGUUGGGAUGACGGUACCCAAAGAAUAAGCACCGGCUAACUUCGUGCCAGCAGCCGCCGUAA